UACGUAGGGUGCGAGCGUUAAUCGGAAUUACUGGGCGUAAAGCGUGCGUAGGCGGUUCGUUAAGUUCGUUGUGAAAGCCCCGGGCUCAACCUGGGAAUGGCAAUGGAAACUGGCGGGCUGGAGUGCGGCAGAGGGGGGUGGAAUUCCAGGUGUAGCAGUGAAAUGCGUAGAGAUCUGGAGGAACACCGAUGGCGAAGGCAGCCCCCUGGGCUAACACUGACGCUCAUGCACGAAAGCGUGGGGAGCAAACAGG
RNAcentral lists this ribosomal RNA (253 nucleotides) under uncultured bacterium. RNAcentral's name for it is "partial 16S ribosomal RNA". It matches the Rfam family "Bacterial small subunit ribosomal RNA", at positions 524 to 776 of the family's 1533-position model. The record is from RNAcentral.